Non-coding RNA from Populus trichocarpa (black cottonwood), 108 nucleotides. The record is from Rfam. Lineage: Eukaryota; Viridiplantae; Streptophyta; Magnoliopsida; Malpighiales; Salicaceae.
UAAUUUGUUUGGGAUAGUUCAUUAUUUUAUUGUAGUAGAUCCACUACUCAUUAUCUCAUACUCAACUAUAUCACCUAAUUACAGGAAGCCCAAAUUCAAAUACAAAAC